RNAcentral lists this transfer RNA (71 nucleotides) under Cordylochernes scorpioides. RNAcentral describes it as "tRNA-Gly". It matches the Rfam family "tRNA". Rfam says of the family: Transfer RNA (tRNA) molecules are approximately 80 nucleotides in length. The record is from RNAcentral. Lineage: Eukaryota; Metazoa; Arthropoda; Arachnida; Pseudoscorpiones; Chernetidae.
GCAUCGGUGGUUCAGUGGUAGAAUGCUCGCCUGCCACGCGGGCGGCCAGGGUUCGAUUCCCGGUCGAUGCA